CAGCCGCCGCGGUAAUACAGAGGGUGCGAGCGUUAAUCGGAUUUACUGGGCGUAAAGCGUGCGUAGGCGGCUUUUUAAGUCGGAUGUGAAAUCCCUGAGCUUAACUUAGGAAUUGCAUUCGAUACUGGGAAGCUAGAGUAUGGGAGAGGAUGGUAGAAUUCCAGUUGUAGCGGUGAAAUGCGUAGAGAUCUGGAGGAAUACCGAUGGCGAAGGCAGCCAUCUGGCCUAAUACUGACGCUGAGGUACGAAAGCAUGGGGAGCAAACAGGAUUAGAUACCCGAGUAGUCCCUGUCUCUUAUAC
RNAcentral lists this ribosomal RNA (301 nucleotides) under uncultured bacterium. Its description in RNAcentral is "partial 16S ribosomal RNA". It matches the Rfam family "Bacterial small subunit ribosomal RNA", at positions 509 to 807 of the family's 1533-position model. The record is from RNAcentral.